GAACGCUGGCGGCAGGCCUAACACAUGCAAGUCGAGCGCCCCGCAAGGGGAGCGGCGGACGGGUGAGUAACGCGUGGGAAUUUUCCUCAAGGUACGGAACAACUCAGGGAAACUUGGGCUAAUACCGUAUGAUGCAGAGAUGCCAAAGAUUUAUCGCCUUGGGAUAAGCCCGCGUCAGAUUAGGUAGUUGGUGGGGUAAUGGCCUACCAAGCCUGUGAUCUGUAGCUGGUCUGAGAGGACGAUCAGCCACAUUGGGACUGAGACACGGCCCAAACUCCUACGGGAGGCAGCAGUGGGGAAUCUUGCGCAAUGGACGAAAGUCUGACGCAGCCAUGCCGCGUGAAUGAUGAAGGUCUUAGGAUUGUAAAGUUCUUUAGCCUGUGACGAUGAUGACGGUAACAGGAGAAUAAGCCCCGGCUAACUUCGUG
RNAcentral lists this ribosomal RNA (428 nucleotides) under uncultured bacterium. RNAcentral's name for it is "bacterial SSU rRNA". It matches the Rfam family "Bacterial small subunit ribosomal RNA", at positions 31 to 507 of the family's 1533-position model. The record is from RNAcentral.